This is a long non-coding RNA of Oncorhynchus tshawytscha (Chinook salmon), 379 nucleotides long. NCBI's taxonomy places the organism in Eukaryota, Metazoa, Chordata, Actinopteri, Salmoniformes, Salmonidae. The record is from Ensembl.
CAAAAAGUGCCGUUCAUUCACGUACGGCUAUGUAGACGAGCGACAAUAUAUUCGGCUUUAUUUACUCCCCGAUUCGAAAACGCCAAUUAGCAUCAAAGUAGACAUCAUGCAAGAUUACAAAUUCUUGCAAGCUCCUGCACAUCAUCUCUAGUUGACCCCUUUGCUAACAGAACAUACCACUUGGAUAAAAAAAAGUUGAUUACUGAAGAGGAAAGGUCCCAUAACCACAAUCUCCCCUUAUAUCAAAGUGACUCCAAACACCUCACUGCACCACAUGCAAGUGGACAAGCCUCUCAUACACUUCCUUCACCAACCACUGCUUCGACCUCUUGCAGAAGAUUUGUUUGUACUGCAAGCACAUGAGGAUGUGUAACCAUAC